GGCUCAGGACGAACGCUGGCGGCGCGCUUAACACAUGCAAGUCGAGCGAUGAAAUUUCGACAGAUCCCUUCGGGGUGAAGAUGAAAUGGAUUAGCGGCGGACGGGUGAGUAACACGUGAGUAACCUGCCUUAGACAUUGGGAUAGCCUCGGGAAACCGGGAUUAAUACCAAAUGAAAUCACAUAUGCACAUGCAUAAAUGAUCAAAGCUCCGGCGGUCUAAGAUGGACUCGCGUCCCAUUAGCUAGUUGGUGAGGUAACGGCCCACCAAGGCGACGAUGGGUAGCCGGCCUGAGAGGGUGAACGGCCACAUUGGAACUGAGAAACGGUCCAAACUCCUACGGGAGGCAGCAGUGGGGAAUAUUGCACAAUGGAGGGAACUCUGAUGCAGCGACGCCGCGUGAACGAAGAAGGCUUUCGAGUCGUAAAGUUCUUUUAUAUGGGAAGAUAAUGACGGUACCAUAAGAAAAAGCCCCGGCUAACUACGUGCCAGCAGCCGCGG
This 500-nucleotide ribosomal RNA is filed under the name Peptoniphilus sp. MML-11-395. RNAcentral's name for it is "bacterial SSU rRNA". It matches the Rfam family "Bacterial small subunit ribosomal RNA", at positions 21 to 520 of the family's 1533-position model. Lineage: Bacteria; Bacillati; Bacillota; Tissierellia; Tissierellales; Peptoniphilaceae. The record is from RNAcentral.